Molecule: transfer RNA, 62 nt
Filed under: Fusarium pseudograminearum CS3220
Lineage: Eukaryota; Fungi; Ascomycota; Sordariomycetes; Hypocreales; Nectriaceae
Also listed under: 4 other names
Description: tRNA-Ile
Source: RNAcentral
UAAUAAAACUGAUUUACAAGAAGUAUUAUUUCCUUUAUUUAUUUAUAAUAAUAUAUUUUUCU